This is a long non-coding RNA of Ficedula albicollis (Collared flycatcher), 1058 nucleotides long. RefSeq lists it as uncharacterized. The transcript is spliced from 5 exons. Lineage: Eukaryota; Metazoa; Chordata; Aves; Passeriformes; Muscicapidae. The record is from RefSeq and is a predicted model, not a curated record.
GUGCCGUGCCAUCUCUGCCGUCUUUGGGCAGCGGCUGCGUGCUCAGCGGGCAGAUCCUGCCCCGCCCAACCAGUAAGUCUGCAUAUCUCUGAUUUUCAGAGGUGCAGUGGCUCGAGCUGGCUGAUUGGUGCUCCUGUAGCUGUUUGCGGGCUUUUUUUGGCUUGGUAUUAAAAGCUAGGUAGAAUUUCAUGAACAGAACUGUAUUUCCUGACUGGCUUCCAGAGGAUUCGUUCAUGCCUUAUUUUUCUUAGGAGUAUUUCUGGAUAUUGAUCUUCCAAAGAUUCAGAUGACUGGUUGGGCAAAAGACCUUGAGCAAAAUUCUGUACUGUGCGUGCCAGAUGUGUUGAGGAAUUGAUUUACUCACUGUAAGCAAAAUAGCUGCUCUUGGUUGAAGUACUGAAUCCAUUCAGAUGAAGAGUGUCAAAAGGAGUCUACGAAUGAGACACCAAGAUGGCAGUUCCACUGGGGAUUGAGAGGUUGAGGAAGUGGACUAAGGCUUGAGUGCUGGGAUGUCUGUCCAAGAAAAGGAUGUUAAAACGUGGACUCUCAUGUUAUUAACCAGAGAAGAUCUGGGUUGUGAUCAUCCUGUCAAAAUGGACUUUGCAUUUGAAUUAAUCAGUGGCUAUCCAAUGAUGGAUCUGUUUGAGGACUGGGUGGCAAAAUUUUCUUUUUGGGUUGUGUUUGCAUGACAGGCAAAUUAAUUUGGUAAAAGAUCUGUUGCUACCCCUUUUGAAAAAAAUGUAAUUUAUAAAGUGACUUUAAAUAAAAGGUUUUGUUUUAUUUCACACUUUGUGUUUGUCCUUUCUGGCUGAAUAUUUUUUAUUGUGUUGGUAUUGAUGUGGGUUACCUUUUUGGUUGCUAUUAAACUGAGAAAUAUUUUAGCUAAGUACUGAAGGCAAGGUAAAAUUUUGUGCUGUACUUGGUAUCAAAUGUGGUUUUCAUUUGCAAAUUAUGUUCAUUUUGCCAUGACUUCCAAUGAAUUUUUAUUCGCUGGCUUGUUCAUUCAGGUGCUUAAUAUGAGGAGUUUUCAGUACUUGGCCUAUUGUCAGGGCACUGCU